RNAcentral lists this long non-coding RNA (267 nucleotides) under Homo sapiens (human). Its description in RNAcentral is "non-protein coding lnc-C2CD4A-5:2". The record is from RNAcentral. Lineage: Eukaryota; Metazoa; Chordata; Mammalia; Primates; Hominidae.
GGGAGCGGAGUGGUCGCCCAGCGCGCGGGGGGACGCGGGCUGCACUCCCGGGCAGGCGCUCUGCAAUGAGACAGUAAAUGCAUCCCCCGUGCGCUGCUGCAGGGUGACAUCUGGACUGGCCUCCUUGUCCCUCGGAUGCUCGGCUGCCCAGAAGUUUCUGGAUCAACUUGUUGAAGACCAUGAGUAAUCUUCAUUUCUACUUCGCAAGCAGCUCUAGACCUGUGGCAUCUCCAGCCAGGUCUGGCUGAUGGACUCCUGCCCUCUGUG